Molecule: unclassified non-coding RNA, 333 nt
Filed under: fungal sp.
Lineage: Eukaryota; Fungi
Description: partial internal transcribed spacer region
Rfam family: Eukaryotic small subunit ribosomal RNA (bases 1-46)
Source: RNAcentral
AAGUCGUAACAAGGUUUCCGUAGGUGAACCUGCGGAAGGAUCAUUAACACGUAUCCAACGUUAAACCCCCCUGUGAACAUUUAUACUUGCUCUCGUGGCGUUUCGAUUGAGCGAUCGUUGCAAGUGGCCUGGUUUCCCCAAGCAGUCAGUGUCUGAAAGUGUCAUUGAUUGUGUAAGGAUAACGCUUUUCGAUCACUAGAGGCCGAACACCGGCCGGUGACCAGGUCGCCGUGGCUUCGGCCCCCCAUAUUCACCCCACUACCUGAACUCGCCUCGUAGGAAACUGCUGGGCAACAAAACGAACAACUGUUAACAAUGGAUAUCUUGGUUCUC